This is a non-coding RNA of Sus scrofa (pig), 5226 nucleotides long. NCBI's taxonomy places the organism in Eukaryota, Metazoa, Chordata, Mammalia, Artiodactyla, Suidae. The record is from RefSeq and is a predicted model, not a curated record.
AGAUCCGUGAUCUGGAUUUUGGUGAGCCAUGCGGUGGCUGCUGUGCUGUUCCUUAAGCUAAAGGAGAAGAGGACGGUAAACCUGAUUAUUUUCCAGUAGAGUUUCUGCAUGCUCAGAACUGAUCAAAAGAACUUAAUAAUCAACCGAAUCGUUCUGAACUUUUUUUCACAUCAGUGUUUCUUAGGAAGUGGUAAGAUUGUGGUGGUAUGUGGCUGAGCCUUAAAUGCUCUAGGAGAGCAGCCUAAAGGUCUGGCCUCCUCUGGCCCUGGCAGGCAGGUGAUGUGCAUGUAGCUGGCUGAGGAUCCCAGCUUGGUGAGCAUUUCAGGAAGAGAGGCAGCCAGCGCUGCACAUGGCCACUCACUUCCUCGUCCUGCUCCAUCCUCAUCACCCUUCCUCUCAGCAUGUGAGGAACACGGGAAAGGACUUUGCUGGGCUUGUGCUUCUUGCUCUGUGGUGGAUUUUCCACUGAACACAGUUGGAAAUUCAGGAUGAGCUGUCGAGAAGAAGUGUCGAGUGUCUAAAAGUUGACAACACGGAGGCACGUUUGGCUGGGGCUUGAUGGGAGAGGCCCAGUGCUGAGCAUCUUUCUCUUGAAGGGCCUUUGCUGAGCGAUUAAGGGGAAAAGUUUUUCCUUCAGUGCGUUCCUGUUUUUGAUCUUGGCUCCCCGGCCUGUCCAAGGUGGGGAGCAUGAAAGCAGGCCCCUCCCCAGAGCAGGCUCCUCCUCAGCAGACCCAGCGCAGCAGGUGAAAUGGGAACGCCACUGGGCUGGGGUUGGGGUGUUGCUCAUCACUGCUGUCAGGGGCCUGUGGCAGCCUGUGUUGGGAACCAGUUUGGCAUCACUCCAGUGAACCUGCAGGUGUACCCUGUGGUCCUUCACUGUUGCUCCUACUUCCUGACCCUGGAGGAGCUCUCAGCACAGGUGCCGGAACCAGGGCAGGGCUGUGGAUGGCUGUGUAGACACCUCGGCUCAGGAUCCAGCAGCCUCUGUGUGUGACCUGAUGAAGCGUCAUUAGCAUGGAAACGGGUUCUUUCCUGGAGGAGGUUAGAGAAUUAUGUGAGUCUAUGAGUAUUUAUUUAUUUUGGCCACACCAUCGCCACAUGGGAGUUUCUGCUCUUUGGCAGCAACCAGAGCCACUGCCUUGACAUCACCAGGUUCUUAACCCACUGUGCCACAAGGGAACUCCUGUGGGAUUAUUUCAUUACAGAUGUUAUAUCAUGUGUAAACAGGCAAAACAUAAUUUUUUAACAUAAGUCGUCAAAGUUCAAAAGAAGUAAAGCAGCAGCGGUAAAGCACUGGGUUUAAUUUGGGACAGAAGGGGAUGCGAUCAGUGGCUUCCAAGGUAGUGAAACCGAGCAGGGCCCUGUGGGUUUCUGGGCACAAGCCCUUCUGUGUCCCCAUUUCUUGCUUUUAGGGAAUAGGCUUCAUUUGGCCUCCAGGACCUUCCCUGUGUUCCGAGGGGCUGGUUCAGACAGUCGCUAAUCAGAGAAGAGAGGGGAUGCAGAGACCAGAGAGGUACAUUCAGACACAACAGUGCAGCCUCGGGGCAGGGUGCUGGCUUCUCCUCAAGGAAUAUACAUGAUGGUAUGUUUGAGUUCUUCUGCAGAACUGAAGCCACAACAGAGAGGAGGUCCCCCAGAACCAGUCCUACGGUCACCAAGCACCAACUCUGAAGAAGAAUGCCAGCUUGCCUCUACCCUGCUCCUUAUCUGUGGCCCCAACCUGAAAAAAACACUUUCUGUUCCUUCCCCCAGGGGGGCACAGUCUCUGAGGCGUUUGCCUGCUGUGACCUCCUGUGCCUGGCAAAGCAAUAAAGCUGUUCUUUCCUGCUUCGCCCCAAAUUCUGUCCCUGCCUUUCUGUUUUUUUCCGUUCAGCACCCAGGCCAAGCUUCUGUGACAGGAGGUCUCCAUUUGUUGGCCUGGCCAGUUAAUCCCCUUGCGAAGAAGCUGCCGAAAGAGCACCGAGAAUUCCUGUAUGCCCAUCCCGCCCUUGUUCUCAAUGUUAACGUUUGUUGCUCCUCGUGCUCAAAACUUUUCCACCAGUACUGUGAAUCGUGUUUUAAGUAGCUCCUUCUGAGAUUACUCCCCCUGAGGGUAGGGAAAACCGUAAAUUAAGGUCGGUUGUAAUUUGUGUUUUAUUUCCUCAGCAGUUGCCUGGCCACCUGAUUUGGCCUCGCAUUCCAGAAACUGGCCUGGCUGUCGUAGUGAUGGCAGUGACUCCCCUGGGAAACGUGUCGGCGCCCCAGCGUCCGGAGCCUCAGACCGGCAGGGCGUGCUUCCACUUCAGGUCAACCAGAUAUACGAGGAGCUGUUUCAGAUACACCAGAAACUGCAGUGUGAAACUGCAGCACAGCAGGAAUUUGCUGAGGAACUUCACAAGCGGGAACGUUUUCUGGUUGAAAGAGAACAGCUGCUUUUCAGACAUGAAGCUGCCUUGAGUAAAAUUAAAGGCGUCAAAGAAGAGGUUCUUACGAGAUUUCAGAUUAUCAAGGAGCAACAUGAUGCAGAAGUUGAGCACUUAACUGAAGUUGUUAAGGAAAGAAAUAAAGAAAGCAAGAGGCUAAGGUCCUCUUUUGAUGCAUUGAAAGAAUUGAAUGAUAGCUUAAAAAAACAGUUACACGAAGUAAGCGAAGAAAACAGAAAGUUGGAGGUUCAGGCUAAAAGAGUUCAAGCUCGCUUAGAUAACUUACAGAGGAAGUAUGAGUUUAUGACCAUACAGAGAUUGAAAGGAAAUCCCCAUGCUGCUCAGGAAGUAAAGAGCUUAAAACAGGAGAAAGCACCAGUGUCAAAACCUUGUAAGACACCUGGGCUGUUGCUGGUUGUUGUCUAUUAAUGAAUACAUCUGCUAAGGAUAUUUGUGGACAAGGCUUUUUGAGGACACAUGUUUUCCUGCCUCUUGGAAAUGUAACCGAGACUGAAUUUCUGGGUCAUAAGGUACCACUUAACGGACAAGUUUAUGAACUUUUAACGGUCUUCAUGGACUGGAUUUCAGAUCAUCACCUCAGCAAGCUGAAACAUGAAGAUUCUGGAAUGGAUGGUGAGAAGCCACAACUCACAUUUGCUUCUCAGAGAGAUGAUAUUCAGGAGAAGUGUGUGAAGCUUUUACCUGUGAUGACAGAGCAGCUGCAGUGGAUGCCCUUUGUGGGGGCCAAGCUUCACGAGCCUUUUGUCAAGUUCAUAUAUUGGUCUCUGAGGCAGCUCGACGCUGGAGCACAGCAUUCGACUAUGACAUCAACAUUGAGGAGAUUAGGUGAAGAUAUAUUCAAAGGAGUGGUGACUAAAGGAAUUCAGGGUAAUUCUUCAGAACAUUCUGUGGAGAAUAAACCAAAGACAGCUGCUUUCUUUAAGAGCUCCAGUUUACCGUUGAGAUUUCCAUCAACUUUAAUUGUUCUCAAAACAGUCACUCAAGCUGACCACUUGGCUCAGGCGUUUGAUUCCCUUUGUUUGGACUUGAAGACGGAUGAAGGAAAGAUCUUGUUCUUAGAGUAUCAAGCUGUUCCAGUAAUACUGAGCCAUCUAAAGAUUUCCAGCAAAGGACUCCUGUCCAAUGUCAUUGAUAGUCUGCUUCAGAUGACAGUGGAGUCUCGGUCAUCACAUGUGUCUCCAUCCCCGGGAGGAAAGGACCAGCCCAGUUUUGAUUGUCACCCCUGUAGCCUCCCUGUUCCCACCCAGGAGGUUGGGAGGGCACUCAGGCUGCUUACGUGGUGCCUUUUAUAUUCAUCUGUGAGAGUUCUGUGGUCGGUGGGGUUCUUCUCUGGUCUGGCACUGGUGUAACAGGCUCUUCAGCACCUGGUUUGGCCCAGGGUCCCUGCAGCCCUUCCUGGAGGCCUGCAGUACCUCACUCUUCUUCCGAACCUGCUCCAUGCUGCUCCGGGCCCCAAAGCUCGAGCUCCACAUUCUAGAGAAGCUCAGCAUCAUUCUCCAGAAACUGUCCAAAAUCAAGAGUAAUAAGAAGCUCUUUGAACUCUUUACAAUUCAUCUGAUGCUUCAGGAGUUACAGCGGACAACACACCCAGAACAUGCCUUUCUCUGUAUUAACCUUAAUUCAACUCUGUUCAAUUUGGGCUUAACAAAAGGUAACUCCCUGGCCUCCAAUGGAAGCCAUUAGCCUGGCUUUUUCUUAUUUAUAGAUGUUAUGUAUGUUUUGCUACUUGUAAGACUGUAAAAAUCACCAAAGUAACUAAAAGUCUACCAGGUAAAGUUAAGAGUAGCAUCAUUUAUCAUGAAAAGUGACACCCACCUCAGGGCUUCUGCUGCCUGAAGAUGCACGGCCACUCCCUCCACCUGCCAGUGAUGUCGUCAUCCCCAAACACCAAGAAGACGCGAAAGCUCCGUGCAGAGGUCGCACUUGUCCUGUGUACUGCUACAUCCCUGUGUCCAGAGAUUGGUAUUUGCCAAGUGAAAUAAAUCUAUUUCCUAACUUUUCUACAAUGAAUAUAUAAUACUUAGGAAACUAAAAAGAAAUGAGCACAUCAUGACUACAACUGUGAAACACACCUACAUACAUACAUACAUAAGGCUGUAUGCAGACUGUGAACAUCACAUUAAGGUGGAAGUACGAGGGCUGAGGAGUUGUAAAGAAGUUAAAGAAAACGGUAUCACCUUCUUCAGUUAUUAAAACUCCCCCCGCCCCCGCUGUGUUCCCUUAUAGAGGUACAGCUGCAGGAUCCGUGACUAAAAACGUGGGCAUGUGCCUCGGGGGCCACUGCUUUGUCAGGAACAUCAAGUGAAGUCAUCCUUGAUUUCAUCUCUUUCAUGAUAGAAACAUAAGAGUAUCACAGAAUAGAUUGAAAACAGCAGGAAGGGAAGAAAUGUUGCCCAAAUUAAGAAAACUACCAACGAAAAACAAUAGCUACACCAAACGAAAAAACAGAGAUGUGUUCACAACCAAGUGACAAUCCACAGACAAGUGGCGCAGUCCCAGUACUCAGGAGUCUUCUCCGUCUCUAUAAAACCCUCUUCCACAUAGAGAACAGACUUGUUGCCCUGGGGGGCGGGUGCGUUUGGGCUGAGCCGAUGCAUGCUAGUAAACAACAGGGCUGGGCUGUGCUGUAAAGCACAGGGAGCUCUCUCUAUUCAAUGUCCUGUGAUGAGCAAGAAGGAAAAUAAAUUUAAAAGAAUGUAUAGAUGUAUAACUGAAUCACUCUGCUGUACAGCAGAAAUGAACACAACACUGUAAAUCAGCUAUAUUUGAAUAAAAAAUGUCUCACCCGCAUUCACAUUUUAAA